UACGGAGGGUGCAAGCGUUGCUCGGAAUUAUUGGGCGUAAAGGGUAGGUAGGUGGUCUCAUUUGUCUGGGGUGAAAGCCUUGAGCUUAACUCAAGAAGUGCCCCGGAAACGGUGAGACUAGAGUCCUAGAGAGGGUCGUGGAAUUCCCGGUGUAGCGGUGAAAUGCGUAGAGAUCGGGAGGAACACCAGAGGCGAAGGCGGCGACCUGGUCCUUGACUGACGCUGAGGCGCGAAAGCGUGGGGAGCAAACGGG
Molecule: ribosomal RNA, 253 nt
Filed under: uncultured bacterium
Lineage: Bacteria
Description: partial 16S ribosomal RNA
Rfam family: Bacterial small subunit ribosomal RNA
Source: RNAcentral